This 301-nucleotide ribosomal RNA is filed under the name uncultured bacterium. Its description in RNAcentral is "partial 16S ribosomal RNA". It matches the Rfam family "Bacterial small subunit ribosomal RNA", at positions 509 to 807 of the family's 1533-position model. The record is from RNAcentral.
CAGUCGCCGCGGGAAUACGAAGGUCCCGAGCGUUGUUCGGAAUCACUGGGCGUAAAGGGAGCGUAGGCGGCGUGGUAAGUCAGAUGUGAAAUCCCGGGGCUCAACCCCGGAACUGCAUCCGAUACUGCCAUGCUAGAGGAUUGGAGAGGUAGCUGGAAUUCUUGGUGUAGCAGUGAAAUGCGUGGAGAUCAAGAGGAACACUCGUGGCGAAAGCGAGCUACUGGACAGUAACUGACGCUGAGGCUCGAAGGCCAGGGUAGCGAAAGGGAUUAGAUACCCCGGUAGUCCCUGUCUCUUAUAC